CAACACCCCUGCAGAUGAGGGUGGUGAGGAUGACAUCGCCGAUGCGUUCGACGAGGCGCAAAGGGUUGACAAACAGGUUCUUAGGGCCCCCUUAAAUAGAUAUGUGUCACAACAGUUGUCUAACUACUCCGAGGAAGCUAGUAGGCAACUGUUCCGGAGUAGAGACGACAAGAGCAACCCUCUUCGCAGCUUUGUGAAGAAAAUCAAAAAGGGCUGCAAGAAGUUAGCGGCUAAGCUGAGCUGUGCAGACACGACAUAUGAGCCUCCGUUGCACCCCAUGUUGUCU
Long non-coding RNA from Sorghum bicolor (sorghum), 286 nucleotides. RefSeq lists it as uncharacterized. NCBI's taxonomy places the organism in Eukaryota, Viridiplantae, Streptophyta, Magnoliopsida, Poales, Poaceae. The transcript is spliced from 3 exons. The record is from RefSeq and is a predicted model, not a curated record.